GACGAACGCUGGCGGCGUGCUUAACACAUGCAAGUCGAACGGAAAGGCCCUGCUUUUGUGGGGUGCUCGAGUGGCGAACGGGUGAGUAACACGUGAGUAACCUGCCCUUGUCUUUGGGAUAACUUCAGGAAACUGGGGCUAAUACCGGAUAGGAGCUCCUGCUGCAUGGUGGGGGUUGGAAAGUUUCGGCGGUUGGGGAUGGACUAGCGGCUUAUCAGCUUGUUGGUGGGGUAGUGGCUUACCAAGGCUAUGACGGGUAGCCGGCCUGAGAGGGUGACCGGCCACAUUGGGACUGAGAUACGGCCCAGACUCCUACGGGAGGCAGCAGUGGGGAAUAUUGCACAAUGGGCGGAAGCCUGAUGCAGCAACGCCGCGUGCGGGAUGACGGCCUUCGGGUUAUAAACCGCUUUCGCCUGUGACGAAGCGUGAGUGACGGUAAUGGGUAAAGAAGCACCGGCUAACUACGUG
This 468-nucleotide ribosomal RNA is filed under the name uncultured bacterium. RNAcentral's name for it is "partial 16S ribosomal RNA". It matches the Rfam family "Bacterial small subunit ribosomal RNA", at positions 28 to 507 of the family's 1533-position model. The record is from RNAcentral.